AUGCUUACUUUAGCAGCACAUGUACUAAAAUUAGAACCAUACAGAGAAGAUUGGCAUGGCCCCUGAACAAGGAUGACACGCAAAUUCACGAAGCAUUCCAUAUUAAA
Molecule: small nuclear RNA, 107 nt
Organism: Vulpes vulpes (red fox)
Lineage: Eukaryota; Metazoa; Chordata; Mammalia; Carnivora; Canidae
Source: Ensembl